RNAcentral lists this ribosomal RNA (253 nucleotides) under uncultured bacterium. RNAcentral describes it as "partial 16S ribosomal RNA". It matches the Rfam family "Bacterial small subunit ribosomal RNA", at positions 524 to 776 of the family's 1533-position model. The record is from RNAcentral.
GACGAAGGUGGCAAGCGUUGUUCGGAAUUACUGGGCGUAAAGGGCUCGUAGGCGGCCAACUAAGUCAGACGUGAAAUCCCCAGGCUCAACCUGGGAACUGCGUCUGAUACUGGAUGGCUUGAAUCCGGGAGAGGGAUGCAGGAUUCCAGGUGUAGCGGUGAAAUGCGUAGAUAUCUGGAGGAAUACCGGUGGCGAAGGCGGCAUCCUGGACCGGCAUUGACGCUGAGGAGCGAAAGCCAGGGGAGCAAACGGG